RNAcentral lists this ribosomal RNA (224 nucleotides) under Shigella flexneri. RNAcentral's name for it is "partial 16S ribosomal RNA". It matches the Rfam family "Bacterial small subunit ribosomal RNA", at positions 1038 to 1262 of the family's 1533-position model. The record is from RNAcentral. Lineage: Bacteria; Pseudomonadati; Pseudomonadota; Gammaproteobacteria; Enterobacterales; Enterobacteriaceae.
GUGCUGCAUGGCUGUCGUCAGCUCGUGUUGUGAAAUGUUGGGUUAAGUCCCGCAACGAGCGCAACCCUUAUCCUUUGUUGCCAGCGGUCCGGCCGGGAACUCAAAGGAGACUGCCAGUGAUAAACUGGAGGAAGGUGGGGAUGACGUCAAGUCAUCAUGGCCCUUACGACCAGGGCUACACACGUGCUACAAUGGCGCAUACAAAGAGAAGCGACCUCGCGAGA